UACGAAGGGGGCUAGCGUUGCUCGGAAUUACUGGGCGUAAAGGGCGCGUAGGCGGCACUGUUAGUCAGGCGUGAAAUUCCUGGGCUCAACUUGGGGACUGCGCUUGAUACGGCAGAGCUAGAGGAUGGAAGAGGCUCGCGGAAUUCCCAGUGUAGAGGUGAAAUUCGUAGAUAUUGGGAAGAACACCGGUGGCGAAGGCGGCGAGCUGGUCCAUUACUGACGCUGAGGCGCGACAGCGUGGGGAGCAAACAGG
Molecule: ribosomal RNA, 253 nt
Filed under: uncultured bacterium
Lineage: Bacteria
Description: partial 16S ribosomal RNA
Rfam family: Bacterial small subunit ribosomal RNA
Source: RNAcentral